Nicotiana tabacum (common tobacco) is the source of this 1033-nucleotide non-coding RNA. The record is from RefSeq and is a predicted model, not a curated record. NCBI's taxonomy places the organism in Eukaryota, Viridiplantae, Streptophyta, Magnoliopsida, Solanales, Solanaceae.
GGUAGCAGAUGUGCUGGGUCGCUUUGGAAGAUCAAGGACUAUAUUUGGAGUUGAAAUGGAUACACUAUUUUGGACCGUUCCUCCUAUUGAUGCUUUGUUUACUUUGUGCAAGGACCUUUAUGCACUACCAGAUAUUAGGCAAUUUUUGAUCGAUAAUUCUGGUCGAAAAAUGUUAUCGGAGUUUCGACGCCAUUUUUGACCACCAUGGUUGGACACUUGUUCACAUUUAGUUUGCCUUUUUUGUUUGUAAAUAUUCGACCACCUUUUCUACAAAAGUAGUAAGAAACUUUCGUGCGAAAACCUGCAAAAUUAGCUUCUGACGGUAAUAAUUGGUUAGGAAAGUCAAUUCUUUUCUUUGACCAACAAUUAAAAAAAUUAAGGUUCCAACUGAAGUUGUCGGACUUUUAUUUUUUUGAGAUCUGAUUUAUUAACGACGCUGAUUGAUCGACCCGAUUCGGUCUGUCAUUGUAAAAAUACAAAGUCUAAUUUAUUUUUUCAAAUCCAAUUCUGUUCUAUUUCAUUCUCCCUCUUUCCCCUCUCUAUAUCUCUCCUCUCUCUCUCUUACUCUCUCUCUACUUCUAAAAUUGCAACAGAGCUCUUUUUGUUACAUGUUGCAAUGACAAUCAGGAGGAACUUGGCAGAUCUUCGGCGGACUCCGGCGGCAACAACGACAAUGUAAUAUCUUCGGAAUGGAGUUUUGACGGUUCCAAUAGCUCUGUUGGUGAUUUUUGGACCUAGGAGAGUGUCCGGAUGUUGAUUUGGAGAUCCAGGUGUCGGACUGAGUUGUGGCUAGCUGUGAGGUGUUGUUGUGAGCAUUUUGGAGAGACGAGGUAGAGUUGCAUCCCGACCGUAGUCUUGGUGUCUCUUUUCCUUUUGUACUGUUAUUUUCAUUCAAACAGUAUCAAUAUUCUGUAUUCCAGACUUGUACUUUUUAUUAGAGCUCAUGACACUGUAUUACCAUUUCUUGAGCGUUAUUGUAUUUCAAAUCAGUUAUUCAUGUUAAUACCAUUAGACUUGUACUAUUUCUAUGCUA